This 467-nucleotide ribosomal RNA is filed under the name uncultured bacterium. RNAcentral describes it as "partial 16S ribosomal RNA". It matches the Rfam family "Bacterial small subunit ribosomal RNA", at positions 28 to 507 of the family's 1533-position model. The record is from RNAcentral.
GAUGAACGCUGACAGAAUGCUUAACACAUGCAAGUCAACUUGAAUUUGGGUUUUUAACUUAGGUUUGGGUGGCGGACGGGUGAGUAACGCGUAAAGAACUUGCCUCACAGCUAGGGACAACAUUUGGAAACGAAUGCUAAUACCUAAUAUUAUGAUAAUAGGGCAUCCUAUAAUUAUGAAAGCUAUAAGCGCUGUGAGAGAGCUUUGCGUCCCAUUAGCUAGUUGGAGAGGUAACGGCUCACCAAGGCAAUGAUGGGUAGCCGGCCUGAGAGGGUGAUCGGCCACUAGGGAACUGAGAAACGGCCAUUACUCCUACGGGAGGCGGCAGUGGGGAAUAUUGGACAAUGGACCAAGAGUCUGAUCCAGCAAUUCUGUGUGCACGAUGAAGUUUUUCGGAAUGUAAAGUGCUUUCAGUUGGGAAGAAAGAAAUGACGGUACCAACAGAAGAAGUGACGGCUAAAUACGUG